RNAcentral lists this ribosomal RNA (468 nucleotides) under uncultured bacterium. RNAcentral describes it as "partial 16S ribosomal RNA". It matches the Rfam family "Bacterial small subunit ribosomal RNA", at positions 28 to 507 of the family's 1533-position model. The record is from RNAcentral.
GACGAACGCUGGCGGCGUGCUUAACACAUGCAAGUCGAACGGAAAGGCCCUGCUUUUGUGGGGUGCUCGAGUGGCGAACGGGUGAGUAACACGUGAGUAACCUGCCCUUGACUUUGGGAUAACUUCAGGAAACUGGGGCUAAUACCGGAUAGGAUCUCCUGCUGCACGGUGGGGGUUGGAAAGAUUCGGCUGUUGGGGAUAGACUCGCGGCUUAUCGGCUUGUUGGUGGGGUAGUGGCUUACCAAGGCUUCGACGGGUAGCCGGCCUGAGAGGGUGACCGGCCACAUUGGGACUGAGAUACGGACCAGACUCCUACGGGAGGCAGCAGUGGGGAAUAUUGCACAGUGGGCGGACGCCUGAUACAGCAACGCCGCGUGCGGGAUGCCGGCCUUCGGGUUGUAAACCGAUUUCGCCUGUGACGAAGCGUGCGUGACGGUAAUGAGUAAAGAAGCACCGGCUAACUACGUG